AGUGCACUAAGCCUAGCUAAGACACCGCCACUGACAACCUAUAUAAGAAUGCAAAACUCUUCUCAACUUUACCCCUCAAUUGCACUUCCUAUGUUGGUUGUGAUUUCUCAAUAAGCGGUUCUUGUUCGUUUUCUGUGGUACUAUUGUUCUUUAUUUUCUCUUCUUCUUUCCCAAUUGCUGGGUUCUUUCUUUCUGCUGCUGCUUCUUCUUCUCAAAUCAGAAGAUGCGGAAAGGCGAAGGCCUCCGGUGCUCAACUGAAAGAACUGGCUGUCUUCACUGUCUUAUCCUCUUUUGAGUGAAGAUACACAGCAACACCAAAGUGAUGCCUCCAACUUCAAAUGGGUUCUUGGAAUCGACCCUGACGUCUCUGGCGCUGUGGCGCUCUUGAAAACUCAACAUUCUCAUUCUGAUUAUGCGCCUCAGUCUCAUUUUGAGAUUCUUCAUCAAUCUCAACUCAAGGGAGAUGCGAGUUGGUGGAAUACAUGUUCACUGCAAGGAAUUGUGAGACUUCCCCUGGGAUGAUCAUAUCCAAACUCUUCCUCAACUUCACUCAACUCUUAGAAUGAAAGCUUGGUUCAAAUAUGAAAUGGGAAUCACAUAACACUUUUGAUUAUGUCUGACAUACACUGCAAGAUAACCCUUUGGGACUUGUACGGAUUUUGAAAUUGCUUGCUUAGCUGAGAAUGAUGCCUUUCCCCAUUUUUCUUGCGUAUGUAAGGAAUGGAAAGAGCAAGGGAAAGCUCUAGUGCUUAAGAAGAAAGUGUUCAAGUAUUGAUCUUCAGAUUGCCAGGGAGUUGUGUUGUGUUGUUUCUUAAGCAAGAGUCAUGCAUAUGAAAUCAUGUGAUGCUGUUUUAGAGUAUCAAACAAUGGCCAAUAAUAGAUCAUAGCCUCCUACCUGAUGCUAUCAACUUAUCAAGUAUCAAUCAAAACACUGAACUUUUCAUCCAGAAGCUUUAAUUCUUUUUACUCUACAGGAACCUUUCAAUGUGGAGCUAACAAGCUCUGCACCGACAUGCUCGUACGUUACUCCAAAUUUCUUUUACAAGAGGAACCAUGGCCCAAUUCCCAUCGUUGAAGAUAUUGAAAGGUACUCUGUUUUGGUGGAAAAGCUCAAACAGCUUUUCAUGAAAGAUAUCAGGUUAGUGCACGGAUUGAUUCUAUGAAUUUGUCAAAUAGGAAUUGGUUACUGACCUGGUUAUUCUCGUGCAUUUUUUUUUUGCGUUUUUUGCUCGUUUCGCACGUGUGUUUUUAUUUUUGUGUUUUUCGCUCGUUUCGCACAUUUGCGUGUUUUUCGCUCGUUACGCACAUAUGUUUGUUUUUCGCCCGUUUCGCACGUCUGUGUGUUUUUCGCUCGUUUCGCACGUUUGUGUUUUUUUUUUUGGGUUUUUAGCUCGUUUCGCACGUAAGCUUGUUUUUCGAUCGUUUCGCACGUAUGUGUUUUUCGUUCGUUUCGUACGUGUGGUUUUUUGUGUUUUUCGCUCGUUUCGCACGUGUACGUGUGUGUGGUUCUUUUGUUGUUUUUCGCUAGUUUCACAAUGUGUAUUUUUCGCUCGUUUCGCAUGUGUUUGUGUGUGUUUUUUUUAUGUUUUUCGCCCGAUUCACAUGUGUGUGUUUUUCGUUCGUUUCGUACGUAUUUGUGUUUUUCGUUCGUCUCGCACGUGUAUUUUUCUUUCGUUUCGCAUGCAUGUGUGUUUGUGUAAUUUUUUCUCUUUUUGCACGUCUGCGUGUUUUCGCUCAUUUCACACGUGUAUGGGUUUUUUUGUGUUGUUCGCUCGUUUCGCACAAGAGUGCGUAUUUUUGUGUUCUUCACUCGUUUCGCACGCGCGUGUUUUUCUGUGGUUUUUCGCUCUUUUCGCACGUGUUUUUUUUUUAUUUUUUCGCUCUUUUUGCACGUGUGUAUUUUUCGCUUGUUUCGCAUGAUUGUUUUUAUUAUAUUUGUGUUUUUUACGCUCGUG
Arachis duranensis is the source of this 1955-nucleotide long non-coding RNA. RefSeq lists it as uncharacterized. The transcript is spliced from 4 exons. The record is from RefSeq and is a predicted model, not a curated record. Lineage: Eukaryota; Viridiplantae; Streptophyta; Magnoliopsida; Fabales; Fabaceae.